Molecule: long non-coding RNA, 303 nt
Filed under: Danio rerio (zebrafish)
Lineage: Eukaryota; Metazoa; Chordata; Actinopteri; Cypriniformes; Danionidae
Description: lncRNA si:zfos-975f7.1 (ENSDARG00000103110.2)
Source: RNAcentral
AUUUACACUUUUCACAAGCGUUUGUAGUUGUAAUCGAAUUCGCAUCCAAUGCGCAAUGUAUUGUGGGCAAUAUCAGCGGUUAGAGGCUUGUAGAGCGUCUACACUUAAGUUAUUUACCGGAAAUAGCAAGCCAUCCGGGACCCUCUGGCAAACUCUUUUCGACAUAUUAAGGUUAGGGACAUACAAAGGGCCUACUUACACUAUGCUAUCCGUACUUGUUGGCCGUCGGGGCAACUGUAGUGUGAGUACGCCCUAAUUCUUUUUUCAUAUACUAUUUAGGACGGAUAGUAUGCCGAUUGAGAC